Molecule: ribosomal RNA, 1528 nt
Filed under: Klebsiella pneumoniae
Lineage: Bacteria; Pseudomonadati; Pseudomonadota; Gammaproteobacteria; Enterobacterales; Enterobacteriaceae
Description: bacterial SSU rRNA
Rfam family: Bacterial small subunit ribosomal RNA
Source: RNAcentral
AGAGUUUGAUCAUGGCUCAGAUUGAACGCUGGCGGCAGGCCUAACACAUGCAAGUCGAGCGGUAGCACAGAGAGCUUGCUCUCGGGUGACGAGCGGCGGACGGGUGAGUAAUGUCUGGGAAACUGCCUGAUGGAGGGGGAUAACUACUGGAAACGGUAGCUAAUACCGCAUAAUGUCGCAAGACCAAAGUGGGGGACCUUCGGGCCUCAUGCCAUCAGAUGUGCCCAGAUGGGAUUAGCUUGUAGGUGGGGUAACGGCUCACCUAGGCGACGAUCCCUAGCUGGUCUGAGAGGAUGACCAGCCACACUGGAACUGAGACACGGUCCAGACUCCUACGGGAGGCAGCAGUGGGGAAUAUUGCACAAUGGGCGCAAGCCUGAUGCAGCCAUGCCGCGUGUGUGAAGAAGGCCUUCGGGUUGUAAAGCACUUUCAGCGGGGAGGAAGGCGUUAAGGUUAAUAACCUCAUCGAUUGACGUUACCCGCAGAAGAAGCACCGGCUAACUCCGUGCCAGCAGCCGCGGUAAUACGGAGGGUGCAAGCGUUAAUCGGAAUUACUGGGCGUAAAGCGCACGCAGGCGGUCUGUCAAGUCGGAUGUGAAAUCCCCGGGCUUAACCUGGGAACUGCAUUCGAAACUGGCAGGCUAGAGUCUUGUAGAGGGGGGUAGAAUUCCAGGUGUAGCGGUGAAAUGCGUAGAGAUCUGGAGGAAUACCGGUGGCGAAGGCGGCCCCCUGGACAAAGACUGACGCUCAGGUGCGAAAGCGUGGGGAGCAAACAGGAUUAGAUACCCUGGUAGUCCACGCCGUAAACGAUGUCGAUUUGGAGGUUGUGCCCUUGAGGCGUGGCUUCCGGAGCUAACGCGUUAAAUCGACCGCCUGGGGAGUACGGCCGCAAGGUUAAAACUCAAAUGAAUUGACGGGGGCCCGCACAAGCGGUGGAGCAUGUGGUUUAAUUCGAUGCAACGCGAAGAACCUUACCUGGUCUUGACAUCCACAGAACUUUGCAGAGAUGGUUUGGUGCCUUCGGGAACUGUGAGACAGGUGCUGCAUGGCUGUCGUCAGCUCGUGUUGUGAAAUGUUGGGUUAAGUCCCGCAACGAGCGCAACCCUUAUCCUUUGUUGCCAGCGGUUCGGCCGGGAACUCAAAGGAGACUGCCAGUGAUAAACUGGAGGAAGGUGGGGAUGACGUCAAGUCAUCAUGGCCCUUACGACCAGGGCUACACACGUGCUACAAUGGCAUAUACAAAGAGAAGCGACCUCGCGAGAGCAAGCGGACCUCAUAAAGUAUGUCGUAGUCCGGAUUGGAGUCUGCAACUCGACUCCAUGAAGUCGGAAUCGCUAGUAAUCGUAGAUCAGAAUGCUACGGUGAAUACGUUCCCGGGCCUUGUACACACCGCCCGUCACACCAUGGGAGUGGGUUGCAAAAGAAGUAGGUAGCUUAACCUUCGGGAGGGCGCUUACCACUUUGUGAUUCAUGACUGGGGUGAAGUCGUAACAAGGUAACCGUAGGGGAACCUGCGGUUGGAUCACCU